CCGCUGUGACUACACUUGUUGCCUCUGCGGAUCAGCCCGCUCCCGGUAAAACGGGACGGCCCGCCGAGGACCCCUAAACUCUGUUUCUAUAUGUAACUUCUGAGUAAAACCAUAAAUAAAUCAAAACUUUCAACAACGGAUCUCUUGGUUCUGGCAUCGAUGAAGAACGCAGCAAAAUGCGAUAAGUAAUGUGAAUUGCAGAAUUCAGUGAAUCAUCGAAUCUUUGAACGCACAUUGCGCCCGCCAGUAUUCUGGCGGGCAUGCCUGUUCGAGCGUCAUUUCAACCCUCAAGCACAGCUUGGUGUUGGGACUCGCGUUAAUUCGCGUGUCUCACAUUGAUUGGCGGUCACGUCGAGCUUCCAUAGGGUACUAUUAAAACCCUCCUUACUGGUAAUCGUCCGGGCCAAUCCCUUAAGCCCCCACUUCUUAAUGUUGACC
Molecule: ribosomal RNA, 438 nt
Filed under: Fusarium oxysporum f. sp. cubense
Lineage: Eukaryota; Fungi; Ascomycota; Sordariomycetes; Hypocreales; Nectriaceae
Description: eukaryotic LSU rRNA
Rfam family: 5.8S ribosomal RNA (bases 125-278)
Source: RNAcentral